CUGUUUACCAGAGAGAGUUGGAUGUUUAUACGUUCAAGGAUACGACCAACCUUUCUCAAAAAUAAAAGUCACAUCCGAGUUGAAACAUUACGACAAACGUAUUAUUGAAUGUACGUGGGAAAAUAACCAGUGGAAGUUUUUGCGUGUUCGUGAAGAUAAAUCGUUCCCAAAUGCAUUAAAAACAGCACAAAGCGUUUGUGCAAGCAUCACUCACCCUGUUACCAAGGAGAUAUUAAAUGACUAUAUAAAUAAGUAUUUAUUUCGUACACACGGGGCUCCACAGUUUCAUUCCAAAUAAUACAUUUGAAUUCUGCUGAGUAGCAUUUUCAGGGCACCAGUGCGUCAGUUAUCGUUUGAAAUAAGUGGAGUGGUUGGAUUUAAGAGAGCUGAUUUUUUUUCUUAGCUCUAUUUUAAUACUAAAUAAGCAUGAGCAAUUUAAAUAUAUUACUUAUUUAAUCGGCAUUCAAAAAAUGUUCGUCGUAGAAAAGAUAAAGAGGAAUAUAAACGAAAGAAUAAUAAAGUAUUAUCUAAAACGUUUAAAGUGCAAUUUUCAUUAAUACAGUAAAAUUCUCUUAAAUGCAGUGAAAUGUUCAUAAAUACAGUGAAAUAUAAAUAGAGGUAACUGCAGGAGUAAACAAAGAAUUACAUUAAUUUAUUUCUACCAAUUGGAAAACUACAUGAUCCAACUGUUUUAUGACGUUUUAUUUUAGAUGCAGUCUGUAGAAAAUACUUUAUUUUCCUUUUCUCUGAAAUAUUUAAAAUCUCUGAAAUAUUCAAAUUUAAUAUUGAAUAUCACUAGUAUAAAAAUUAAUAUUGAAAUGUUUGUCAUUAUUAAGAAUUUCUUUAAUCAAACAUCUA
Molecule: non-coding RNA, 858 nt
Organism: Hydra vulgaris (swiftwater hydra)
Lineage: Eukaryota; Metazoa; Cnidaria; Hydrozoa; Anthoathecata; Hydridae
Source: RefSeq, a predicted model, not a curated record